CACAUGUGUUUUUUAUUGAACAAAUUUCUUUGGUGGCGGGAGCAAUCCUACCGCCAGAGGUUAUAACUAAACCAAACUUUUUAUUUACAGUCAAACUUGAUUUAUUAUUACAAUAGUCAAAACUUUCAACAACGGAUCUCUUGGUUCUCGCAUCGAUGAAGAACGCAGCGAAAUGCGAUACGUAAUAUGAAUUGCAGAUAUUCGUGAAUCAUCGAAUCUUUGAACGCACAUUGCGCCCUUUGGUAUUCCAAAGGGCAUGCCUGUUUGAGCGUCAUUUCUCCCUCAAACCCCCGGGUUUGGUGUUGAGCAAUACGCUAGGUUUGUUUGAAAGAAUUUAACG
RNAcentral lists this unclassified non-coding RNA (340 nucleotides) under Candida sp. 3 CS-2017. RNAcentral's name for it is "sequence contains ITS1". The stretch from base 121 to 274 matches the Rfam family "5.8S ribosomal RNA". Lineage: Eukaryota; Fungi; Ascomycota; Pichiomycetes; Serinales; Debaryomycetaceae. The record is from RNAcentral.